UUAAGAGAUUGGCUAGAAAGCAUUGCUUUAGCAAGCAAAAAUACCUGGCCCGAGCAUGGACACUCUUUUCUGUCUUUGUGCCUAAGUAAGCAAUCAUCUGUCUGUGUUCUUUACAGGCUGAGAGUGGCCAUUAAGAAAUGAAAGCGAGUUUAGAUUUCACCGGCAUGUUUGGAUUUGACGACAUUUUGCAUUUCAAGAAACCAAGGUCAGCUCAACCCUUUUUUGCACUGGGACCCGGCCACCACCGUGAUUUAAGCAAAGAACUACACUGGUGAAUUUAAAGAAGCUGGGCAAGGAGUAACAAUUGCCUGUGACAACUGUCUGCGAAGAAUAUCGUUCUCAGAAAUUCCAAACUGCCCCAGAGCUGUGGCAGGAAAGUCCACAGAUUAUUAUUGGGUAAUGACAUUGGAAAUAAAAAAGUAUAUAGUA
Molecule: long non-coding RNA, 429 nt
Organism: Felis catus (domestic cat)
Lineage: Eukaryota; Metazoa; Chordata; Mammalia; Carnivora; Felidae
Exons: 2
Source: RefSeq, a predicted model, not a curated record